Molecule: ribosomal RNA, 236 nt
Filed under: uncultured bacterium
Lineage: Bacteria
Description: partial 16S ribosomal RNA
Rfam family: Bacterial small subunit ribosomal RNA
Source: RNAcentral
GAUCAUGGCUCAGGAUGGACGCUAGCGACAGGCCUAACACAUGCAAGUCGAGGGGCAACGGAGAGGUAGCAAUACCUUUGCCGGCGACCGGCGCACGGGUGAGUAACACGUAUGCAAUCCACCUGUAACAGGGGGAUAACCCGGAGAAAUCCGGACUAAUACCCCAUAAUAUGGGCGCUCCGCAUGGAGAGCCCAUUAAAGAGAUCAAUUUUGGUUACAGACGAGCAUGCGCUCCA